Long non-coding RNA from Dreissena polymorpha, 1685 nucleotides. RefSeq lists it as uncharacterized. Lineage: Eukaryota; Metazoa; Mollusca; Bivalvia; Myida; Dreissenidae. The record is from RefSeq and is a predicted model, not a curated record. The transcript is spliced from 3 exons.
UACCAAUGAAACAUGAUUAUCAUUGCGUUCGGGCCGACUGUCAUGGAUAGUUACAAUUUUUGUGGAGGCUAGCGAUAUUAAUGUAUGAAUUCAAACGCAUUGAACCCUGUUGGACCAUCAGGGUUCAAGGUAAUUAUCAUGGGUUGGACCUUGCAGUGUACUAGUUUCAUUUGAUACACAAGCAAACUACGGCCAAUGCCAAAGUUGAAUACAUCUUUCAGCUGUGGUUUAAGAUAUCUGCUAACAACCAGUCGUAAUCCAAGAUUAGGAAUGACUUCAGACUCAGCUUAACAAAGGACAUUUCAAUGCGCCAAAUAUAGGAUUUUGCAUACAGAUGAUUCCUGGAGUCAAGAGUAAAACAAGGCAAGAAAACAACGGAUCAUUACGUGAAAUUAGUUAAGUUUUCAUUUAUAAAUGUUUGGGCUAACAACGUCAUCGAGGUAUAAUGGAAAAUAUGCAACCAUAAACACAUUUAAGAUUGUAUUUUGUUUUGUAUUGAUGCGUCUCUACUAUUCACAUUACAUAAUUUGUUAUCUUCAACAAUUACAGAUGUGCACUGGUCCCACACCUUUGUCCUGUCGAUUGUUACAGGUAUCCGGAAGCUCUGCGAUCGACGUUGUGCGCUGCCUUCCCGGAUUUCACAAAAAAACAUAUGGCGUUCCCCAGGUACUGUAGUGCACAGCCCUGGACAAGAACAACUUGAUAAGGGAUAUAGUGUUCAACAAAAAGCGUGGGAUGCGAAACAUGCGCAUUCAGCUGCUGGAUAUAACUCGACACACCCGAACUGCUUGUAUAUCGCUCUUGGAAAGCGCUGUGAGAGGAACGUACUUAAACAGGAAGUAACCCUUCAGUUAGCUCCACUGCUAGCACCCGAGUCACUAAAAAGGACAGUUGAUCUAAGAACCCCUCACCCAAACGAGAAAUCGAUCCAGAACAGCAUGAAGGGCGAGCACAUGAAUGUGCAAAGAACAAUCCUUGCACCAGACGUGUGCAAGCCAGAAGUUCCGGUGUUCAUUUCGCCAGCAUCAACUGUGCGAUUCUUUACUGCUCCCGCAACUGACCUGGCACCCACUUCGACAAUUUCAGUCCCAAUAGAACCUAACCUGCCGUACCCUACCAAGCAGUACCAAACGAGGACGCUGGAUCCUGAUCAGGCAGUGGAGUUUUGGGGACAGUACCAAGAAAGAACCUGUCAUACAUAAAUAAGUGAUGUGAGGACAGAAGCAUACCAAACAUUAGAGGAGUGGAUAGAUCCCAUAAAGUUGAAAGACAAUGGAAACAAGAAAACUUCAGAAAUCGAAAAAUACAAGUUUUACAUUGAUCAUAUUUAUCAAAAUAUCUUAUAUAUUUAUAAUCUUCUAACACUCUGCUUUUUUACUCUUAACAACAACAUGAUCAACAUAAAGUGACAAUGAAAAUAAAACACUAUCCUUAAAGCUGCAAAUUUUUAAUUGCGUAUUGCUCGGUGAUGUAUGUAUUUGUGUUUUGCUUAAACCAUCUACUCUAGCACUAUGUUGCUAGCACCAUCAGAAUAGCACAAUCAUUAAUAAAUCAUUUAAUCAAACGUUGAAAAACUAGGUAUUGAUUUGAGUAGUUUAUUGUCCAGUUACGUCACUAAAGUUUACAGUACAGUAUACACCUUAAUUGUGUGAUAAUACAUAUUUGUUGUCUUGGUUUUUAUAACA